This 629-nucleotide ribosomal RNA is filed under the name Asterophrys turpicola. RNAcentral's name for it is "partial 12S ribosomal RNA". The stretch from base 1 to 465 matches the Rfam family "Bacterial small subunit ribosomal RNA", at positions 871 to 1533 of the family's 1533-position model. The record is from RNAcentral. Lineage: Eukaryota; Metazoa; Chordata; Amphibia; Anura; Microhylidae.
GCCAAGGAAUUACGAGCUCAAGCUUAAAACCAAAGGACUUGACGGUGUCCCAUCCACCUAGAGGAGCCUGUUCUACAAUCGAUUCUCCCCGGUAAACCCUACCAUCUCUUGAAUAUCAGCCUGUAUACCUCCGUCGCAAGCUUACCAUGUGAACGCGCUCAGUGAGCUUAAAGGUUAACAACCAAAACGCCAGGUCAAGGUGCAGCCUACGAGGUGGAAAGAAAUGGGCUACAAUCUCUAUUAUAGAACAAACGGAAAACUGCAUGAAACACAGUAAUUGAAGGCGGAUUUAGUAGUAAGAAGAAAAUAGAGAGUUCUUCUUAAUAAGGCACUGGGACGCGUACACACCGCCCGUCACCCUCUUCAAUCCACACACAAUGUUACUAACACUAUGUAAGUUCCCACAGAAGAGGCAAGUCGUAACACGGUAAGCGUACUGGAAAGUGUGCUUGGAAUAACAAAAUGUAGCUUAAUAAAAGCGUCCUGCUUACACCAAGAAUAUGUCCGUGCAAUCCAGACCAUUUUGAGCCUAAAACCCAGCCCCCUGACCCGCAUGAGUUAAUUAUAUAAAUAAAACCAAAUAAAACAUUUUAUAAACCAAGUAAAGGCGAUUAAAAAGUAUCUAGGAG